RNAcentral lists this ribosomal RNA (253 nucleotides) under uncultured bacterium. Its description in RNAcentral is "partial 16S ribosomal RNA". It matches the Rfam family "Bacterial small subunit ribosomal RNA", at positions 524 to 776 of the family's 1533-position model. The record is from RNAcentral.
UACGUAGGGCGCAAGCGUUGUCCGGAAUUAUUGGGCGUAAAGAGCUCGUAGGCGGUCUGUUGCGUCUGCCGUGAAAACCCGAGGCUUAACCUCGGGCCUGCGGUGGAUACGGGCAGGCUAGAGUUCGGUAGGGGAGACUGGAAUUCCUGGUGUAGCGGUGAAAUGCGCAGAUAUCAGGAGGAACACCGGUGGCGAAGGCGGGUCUCUGGGCCGAUACUGACGCUGAGGAGCGAAAGCGUGGGGAGCGAACAGG